Molecule: long non-coding RNA, 243 nt
Filed under: Columba livia (rock pigeon)
Lineage: Eukaryota; Metazoa; Chordata; Aves; Columbiformes; Columbidae
Description: partial uncharacterized LOC106146049
Source: RNAcentral
GGUGUGUUGCCAGCAGCAGGAGCAGCACAAGAAGACGACGAUGAGUCCCUUUCUGAUUCUGAGACGGAUUCUGAAGGUCUAACAGAACUUCUGGAUGCCGUGCUGCUUCCAGGUGCAAAACAACAAGGAGUGUGUGCGCAUGCUGUUGCAGAGGAGCGCCACAAUGGUGUGUUGCCAGCAGCAGGAGCAGCACAAGAAGAAGAUGAUUUUGACUUCUCUUCUUUGGAUGAGGUACUUUGUCUU